GCUGGGAUGGCUCAGUCAGUAGAGCAUGAGACUCCUAUUCUCGGGGUUGUGAGUUCGAGCCCCACAUUGGGCA
Non-coding RNA from Podarcis lilfordi (Lilford's wall lizard), 73 nucleotides. The record is from the annotation of a GenBank genome assembly. NCBI's taxonomy places the organism in Eukaryota, Metazoa, Chordata, Lepidosauria, Squamata, Lacertidae.